UCCCGUUGAUCCUGCGGGAGGUUGCUGCUAUUGGGAUUCGACUAAGCCAUGCAAGUCUUCUAGCAAUAGAGGCAAACUGCUCAGUAACACGUCGAUAAUCUAACCUUAGAUUUGGGAUAACCUCGGGAAACUGAGGGUAAUACCGGAUAGGGAAAUUCUACUGGAAUGUGUAUUUUCUAAAACGCAAGGUCUAAGGAUGAGUCGGCGGCGGAUUAGGUAGUUGGCGAGAUAAAGGCUCACCAAGCCGAAGAUCCGUAGGGGCCUUGAGAGAGGUAACCCCGAGAAGGGCACUGAGACACUGGCCCUAGCCCCACGGGGUGCAGCAGGCGCGAAACCUUUACAAUGCACGCAAGUGUGAUAAGGGAAUCCCAAGUGCUUUGCUUAUAUCAAGGCUUUUGUUAUAUGUAAAUAGUAUAGCGAAUAAGUGGUGGGUAAGACUUGUGCCAGCCGCCGCGGUAACACCAUCGCCACAAGUGGCAACCAUCAUUAUUGGGCCUAAAGCGUCCGUAGCCGGUUUAGUAAAUUUUCUGUGAAAUUGUUAGGCUUAACCUAAUGGCGUGCAGAAAACACUGCUAAACUUGGGAUUAGGAGGAGUCAGAGGUAUUUCUGGGGGAGCGGUAAAAUGCUAUAAUCCCAGAAGGACCACCUGUGGCGAAGGCGUUUGACUAGAAUGAAUCCGACGGUGAGGGACGAAAGCCAGGGGAGCAAUCCGGAUUAGAUACCCGAGUAGUCCUGGCUGUAAACUCUGCGAGCUAGGUGUUACAUAUUCUUCGGGAAUAUGUAGUGUCGUAGUGAAGACGUUAAGCUCGCCGCCUGGGAAGUAUGGUCGCAAGACUGAAACUUAAAGGAAUUGGCGGGGGAGCACUACAAGGGGUGCGGCGUGCGGUUUAAUCUAAUUCAACGCAGAGAACCUCACCAGAAGCGACGGCAGGAUGAAGGUCAGUUUAAAGGGCUUACCUAACGAGCCGAGAGGUAGUGCAUGGCCGCCGUCAGCUCGUGCUGUAAAGUGUCCUGUUAAGUCAGGCAACGAGCGAGACCUGUACCUACAAUUGCUAACAAGUCUUUUAGAUGAUUGAGCACAUUGUAGGAACUGCCCUCGAAAGGGGGAGGAAGGUGCAGGCUACGGUAGGUCUGUAUGCUCCGAAUCUUCUGGGCUACACGCGCGCAACAAUGGUAAGAACAAUGGGAUACAACUCCGAAAGGAGAAGUUAACCCUCUAAAUCUUACCCUAGUUCAGAUCGAGGAUUGCAACUCAUCCUCGUGACGUUGGAAUCCCUAGUAAUCGGAUUUUAUCAUAGUCCGGUGAAUAUGUCCCUGCUCCUUGCACACACCGCCCGUAAAACCACCCGAGCAGGUUUUAGAUGAGGCUUAAUUUUUAAUUAAGUCGAAUCUAAGCUCAGCGAGGAGGGUUAAGUCGUCACAAGGUA
Molecule: ribosomal RNA, 1427 nt
Filed under: metagenome
Description: bacterial SSU rRNA
Rfam family: Archaeal small subunit ribosomal RNA
Source: RNAcentral